AGAGUUUGAUCAUGGCUCAGAUUGAACGCUGGCGGCAGGCCUAACACAUGCAAGUCGAGCGGUAGCACAGAGAGCUUGCUCUCGGGUGACGAGCGGCGGACGGGUGAGUAAUGUCUGGGAAACUGCCUGAUGGAGGGGGAUAACUACUGGAAACGGUAGCUAAUACCGCAUAAUGUCGCAAGACCAAAGUGGGGGACCUUCGGGCCUCAUGCCAUCAGAUGUGCCCAGAUGGGAUUAGCUAGUAGGUGGGGUAACGGCUCACCUAGGCGACGAUCCCUAGCUGGUCUGAGAGGAUGACCAGCCACACUGGAACUGAGACACGGUCCAGACUCCUACGGGAGGCAGCAGUGGGGAAUAUUGCACAAUGGGCGCAAGCCUGAUGCAGCCAUGCCGCGUGUGUGAAGAAGGCCUUCGGGUUGUAAAGCACUUUCAGCGGGGAGGAAGGCGAUAAGGUUAAUAACCUCAUCGAUUGACGUUACCCGCAGAAGAAGCACCGGCUAACUCCGUGCCAGCAGCCGCGGUAAUACGGAGGGUGCAAGCGUUAAUCGGAAUUACUGGGCGUAAAGCGCACGCAGGCGGUCUGUCAAGUCGGAUGUGAAAUCCCCGGGCUCAACCUGGGAACUGCAUUCGAAACUGGCAGGCUAGAGUCUUGUAGAGGGGGGUAGAAUUCCAGGUGUAGCGGUGAAAUGCGUAGAGAUCUGGAGGAAUACCGGUGGCGAAGGCGGCCCCCUGGACAAAGACUGACGCUCAGGUGCGAAAGCGUGGGGAGCAAACAGGAUUAGAUACCCUGGUAGUCCACGCCGUAAACGAUGUCGAUUUGGAGGUUGUGCCCUUGAGGCGUGGCUUCCGGAGCUAACGCGUUAAAUCGACCGCCUGGGGAGUACGGCCGCAAGGUUAAAACUCAAAUGAAUUGACGGGGGCCCGCACAAGCGGUGGAGCAUGUGGUUUAAUUCGAUGCAACGCGAAGAACCUUACCUGGUCUUGACAUCCACAGAACUUUCCAGAGAUGGAUUGGUGCCUUCGGGAACUGUGAGACAGGUGCUGCAUGGCUGUCGUCAGCUCGUGUUGUGAAAUGUUGGGUUAAGUCCCGCAACGAGCGCAACCCUUAUCCUUUGUUGCCAGCGGU
RNAcentral lists this ribosomal RNA (1126 nucleotides) under Klebsiella pneumoniae. RNAcentral's name for it is "bacterial SSU rRNA". It matches the Rfam family "Bacterial small subunit ribosomal RNA", at positions 8 to 1125 of the family's 1533-position model. The record is from RNAcentral. Lineage: Bacteria; Pseudomonadati; Pseudomonadota; Gammaproteobacteria; Enterobacterales; Enterobacteriaceae.